UAGGGAAUCUUCCGCAAUGGACGAAAGUCUGACGGAGCAACGCCGCGUGAGUGAUGAAGGUUUUCGGAUCGUAAAGCUCUGUUGUUAGGGAAGAACAAGUACCGUUCGAAUAGGGCGGUACCUUGACGGUACCUAACCAGAAAGCCACGGCUAACUACGUGCCAGCAGCUGCGGUAAUACGUAGGUGGCAAGCGUUGUCCGGAAUUAUUGGGCGUAAAGGGCUCGCAGGCGGUUUCUUAAGUCUGAUGUGAAAGCCCCCGGCUCAACCGGGGAGGGUCAUUGGAAACUGGGGAACUUGAGUGCAGAAGAGGAGAGUGGAAUUCCACGUGUAGCGGUGAAAUGCGUAGAGAUGUGGAGGAACACCAGUGGCGAAGGCGACUCUCUGGUCUGUAACUGACGCUGAGGAGCGAAAGCGUGGGGAGCGAACAGGAUUAGAUACCCUGGUAGUCCACGCCGUAAACGAUGAGUGCUAAGUGUUAGGGGGUUUCCGCCCCUUAGUGCUGCAGCUAACGCAUUAAGCACUCCGCCUGGGGAGUACGGUCGCAAGACUGAAACUCAAAGGAAUGGACGG
Molecule: ribosomal RNA, 571 nt
Filed under: Bacillus sp. enrichment culture clone M7C9
Lineage: Bacteria; Bacillati; Bacillota; Bacilli; Caryophanales; Bacillaceae
Description: bacterial SSU rRNA
Rfam family: Bacterial small subunit ribosomal RNA
Source: RNAcentral